GUGGGGAAUCUUAGACAAUGGGCGCAAGCCUGAUCUAGCCAUGCCGCGUGAGCGAUGAAGGCCUUAGGGUUGUAAAGCUCUUUCGUGGGGGAAGAUAAUGACUGUACCCCAAGAAGAAGCCCCGGCUAACUCCGUGCCAGCAGCCGCGGUAAUACGGAGGGGGCUAGCGUUGUUCGGAAUUACUGGGCGUAAAGCGCACGUAGGCGGACUGGAAAGUCAGGGGUGAAAUCCCGGGGCUCAACCCCGGAACUGCCUUUGAAACUCCCAGUCUUGAGUUCGAGAGAGGUGGGUGGAAUUCCGAGUGUAGAGGUGAAAUUCGUAGAUAUUCGGAGGAACACCAGUGGCGAAGGCGGCUCACUGGCUCGAUACUGACGCUGAGGUGCGAAAGCGUGGGGAGCAAACAGGAUUAGAAACCCUUGUAGUCC
Molecule: ribosomal RNA, 425 nt
Filed under: uncultured bacterium
Lineage: Bacteria
Description: partial 16S ribosomal RNA
Rfam family: Bacterial small subunit ribosomal RNA
Source: RNAcentral